UGAAGACAGUGGUGUUCCCAAGGUGCUCUC
RNAcentral lists this non-coding RNA (30 nucleotides) under Mus musculus (house mouse). The record is from RNAcentral. Lineage: Eukaryota; Metazoa; Chordata; Mammalia; Rodentia; Muridae.